CCUGAGCAGCGCCUGGCACCUAGUAAGUGCUCAGUAAAUCCAUGUGGGCUGGCUACAGGAGUGCUGUGGUUGUGCGGGGGG
Molecule: microRNA precursor, 81 nt
Filed under: Otolemur garnettii (small-eared galago)
Lineage: Eukaryota; Metazoa; Chordata; Mammalia; Primates; Galagidae
Description: miRNA (ENSOGAG00000023668.1)
Source: RNAcentral